This 1127-nucleotide ribosomal RNA is filed under the name Nosema cheracis. RNAcentral describes it as "SSU rRNA". It matches the Rfam family "Microsporidia small subunit ribosomal RNA". Lineage: Eukaryota; Fungi; Microsporidia; Nosematidae. The record is from RNAcentral.
UGCAUGUUAUUGAAUAUAAAGAAAAGACGAACAGCUCAGUAACUCUUAUUUUAUUUGAUGUAUUAGGACAUUAACUAUGUUAAAUUAUAGCUAAUAAUAAUACAAUAAGAAUAAGAUCUAUCAGUUAGUUGUUAAGGUAAUGGCUUAACAAGACAGUGACGGAUAACGGUAUUACUUUGUAAUAUUCCGGAGAAGGAGCCUGAGAGAUUGCUACUAAGUCUAAGGAUUGCAGCAGGGGCGAAACUUGACCUAUGAUAUAUUAUUGAGGCAGUUAUGAGUAGUAUUUUAUAAUUAUUGUAGUAUUGUAAGUAUAUAUUACAAGAUAAAUCGGAGGGCAAAUCGAGUGCCAGCAGCCGCGGUAAUACUUGUUCCGAUAGUGUGUAUGAUGAUUGAUGCAGUUAAAAAGUCUGUAGUUUAUAUUUAAUAAGCAUUGUAAGGUAUAUUGUAUGGUUAGGAGAGAGAUGAAAUGUGAUAACCCUAACUGGAUGAACAGAAGCGAAAGCUAUAUACUUAAAUGUAUUAUUAGAACAAGGACGUAAGCUAGAGGAUCGAAGAUGAUUAGAUACCAUUGUAGUUCUAGCAGUAAACUAUGUUGAAUCAUAGAUAAAAAACAUUUUUAUUUAUGUAGAGAAAUUAAGAUUAUAUUGACUCUGGGGAUAGUAUGAUCGCAAGAUUGAAAAUUAAAGAAAUUGACGGAAGAAUACCACAAGGAGUGGAUUGUGCGGCUUAAUUUGACUCAACGCGGGGUAAUUUACCAGGUAUAACAUGAUAUAAAAUUUUAUCAUGAUAGUGGUGCAUGGCCGUUUCCAAUGGAUGCUGUGAAGUAAUGAUUAAUUUCAACAAGAUGUGAGACCCUCUAUAAGACAGAUGUAGUGAUACAUAUGAAGGAGAGGAUUAAAACAGGUCCGUUAUGCCCUAAGAUAAUCUGGGUUGCACGCGCAAUACAAUAAUAUUGAAUAUUAUAAGGGAUAAUAUAAUGUAAGAUAUAUUUGAACAUGGAAUUGCUAGUAAAUUUUAUUUAAUAAGUAGAAUUGAAUGUGUCCCUGUUCUUUGUACACACCGCCCGUCGCUAUCUAAGAUGGUAUUAUCUAUGAACAAAUUUAUAAAGUGAAUAGAUAGUACUAGAU